RNAcentral lists this long non-coding RNA (459 nucleotides) under Brassica napus (rape). Its description in RNAcentral is "long non-coding RNA (BNAP_LNC006310)". The record is from RNAcentral. Lineage: Eukaryota; Viridiplantae; Streptophyta; Magnoliopsida; Brassicales; Brassicaceae.
GACGAAAUCGAAAAAAAAUGGGUGAAAGAAACGCAACAAAGCUGUAUUUAUGUGUGUGUAGAUGUUUUUGUCGUGUGUCUCGACUGCUGAUAUCGGUGUUUACCAAAGGUAAUUGUUUUUGGUGGAAUAGUUAAAGAAUGGAUGAUAAGUAUGCACUCGUUAGGGAUAUAGAGAGUAUUUAUUUUCGUUGUCAAUCUGUUGAUAUGCUUUCUAAACGGGUUAACUUUACCUUUUCUCCCGAUUUUUCAUUGUUUGCCGAUUUAGAUAAAAGCACCCAGUUAAUAGGUUCGUAGCCGAGUUAAGACGCAUCCCGUCUGUCGCAACACAUAUUCAUUCACAUUUUCUUUUCCUUUGAAAGAAAAGGGAGACAUUCGGGCCUAUGUUAAAAAGGUCGUGGUCGGAAUAACUCCAAUAUAAGUAAAUAACACACACGUUUAGUUACCCCCAAGACCUAUAUGC